Molecule: ribosomal RNA, 846 nt
Filed under: Muyocopron laterale
Lineage: Eukaryota; Fungi; Ascomycota; Dothideomycetes; Muyocopronales; Muyocopronaceae
Description: partial 28S ribosomal RNA
Rfam family: Eukaryotic large subunit ribosomal RNA
Source: RNAcentral
AUUGCCUUAGUAACGGCGAGUGAAGCGGCAACAGCUCAAAUUUGAAAUCUGGCGUCUUUGGCGUCCGAGUUGUAAUUUGCAGAGGAUGCUUCGGCGUUGGCGCCGCCCAAAGUUCCUUGGAACGGGACGUCGCAGAGGGUGAGAGCCCCGUGUUCGGGCGGAUGCCUUCGCCGUGUGAAGCUCCUUCGACGAGUCGAGUUGUUUGGGAAUGCAGCUCAAAACGGGAGGUAAAUUUCUUCCAAAGCUAAAUACCGGCCGGAGACCGAUAGUGCACAAGUAGAGUGAUCGAAAGAUGAAAAGCACUUUGGAAAGAGAGUCAAACAGCGCGUGAAAUUGUUAAAAGGGAAGCGCUUGCGGUCAGAACUUGGCCGCCGUUGCUCGGGGAGGUCUUGCGCCUCUCUCGCUCUUCGGCGGCUGGGCCAGCAUCGGUUCGGGCGGCUCGAGAAAGGUCGCGGGAAUGUAGCUCCCUCCGGGGAGUGUUAUAGCCCGCGGCGCAAUAGGGCCCGCCUGGACCGAGGUCUGCGCAUUUGCUCGGAUGCUGGCGUAAUGGCCCCAAGCGGCCCGUCUUGAAACACGGACCAAGGAGUCUAACAUUCGUGCGAGUGUUCGGGUGUCAAACCCGUGCGCGCAAUGAAAGUGAACGUAGGUGGGAACCCCUCGUGGGCGCACCAUCGACCGAUCCUGAUGUCUUCGGAUGGAUUUGAGUAUGAGCACGUAUGUUGGGACCCGAAAGAUGGUGAACUAUGCCUAAGCAGGGCGAAGCCAGAGGAAACUCUGGUGGAGGCUCGCAGCGGUUCUGACGUGCAAAUCGAUCGUCAAAUUUGGGUAUAGGGGCGAAAGACUAAU